Cinara cedri is the source of this 306-nucleotide non-coding RNA. NCBI's taxonomy places the organism in Eukaryota, Metazoa, Arthropoda, Insecta, Hemiptera, Aphididae. The record is from the annotation of a GenBank genome assembly.
GUAUCGUCAAAAGCACCGCAAUGAUAUUUACCCGGUUGCCGGGAGCUCGUAAAUUUUUCCGGCGAACGUAACCACGGAGCAACAGUUGAUUUGUUUACGUGUUCAAUAAGCAUUUCUAACCAGCUAUAAAUCUCGUGUUGUUUUCGUUCAAACAGUCGUCACUGCGGCAACGGCGAUAAUUUUCCAUCGUUUUGACGAAAGUUCAGCGAUUCCCGGACCGGAUGUCGAAUCUCGAGCCCUCUUUACAUGUGGGCGUCGGGAGCUCCGUUCCGGGGUCGCUCCCGGCGGGAAAACCGGGNUGCCGGG